GACAUGAUGCAAAGGGCCGCGGGUCGGACUCAAACCCAGGCUGCUGCAGCAAGGACUCAGCCUUUGCACAUGGGGCAUGCAGUCUGGCUGGGAGCUAGCUGGUGCCUCGUUAACACUCUGUUCUGCAGGAGUGGCUGGACAAGUGAUGAGGCACAGCUUUGUGACAAAAGGCAACACCACUAGAGACUUUACAGAGAUGAACUUGAAAUUGCUAGGCAGUGUUUCUGCAUUUGGUAGCUUGAGGCAAUCCAGCGUAGGACGGCUAGGAGCUAGUGGUAAGCCCAGCUUGGUCAUUGGACAACGUCCCUCGGCAUCUCU
This is a long non-coding RNA of Micropterus dolomieu (smallmouth bass), 318 nucleotides long. RefSeq lists it as uncharacterized. The transcript is spliced from 3 exons. NCBI's taxonomy places the organism in Eukaryota, Metazoa, Chordata, Actinopteri, Centrarchiformes, Centrarchidae. The record is from RefSeq and is a predicted model, not a curated record.